CAGCCGCCGCGGUAAUACGAGGGGGGCAAGCGUUGUUCGGAAUUAUUGGGCGUAAAGGGUGCGUAGGCGGUUUGGCAAGUUUGGUGUGAAAUCUUCGGGCUCAACUCGAAGUCUGCACCGAAAACUGCCGGGCUUGAGUAUGGGAGAGGUGAGUGGAAUUUCCGGUGUAGCGGUGAAAUGCGUAGAUAUCGGAAGGAACACCUGUGGCGAAAGCGGCCCACUGGACCAUUACUGACGCUGAGGCGCGAAAGCUAGGGGAGCAAACAGGAUUAGAUACCCCCGUAGUCCCUGUCUCUUAUAC
RNAcentral lists this ribosomal RNA (301 nucleotides) under uncultured bacterium. RNAcentral describes it as "partial 16S ribosomal RNA". It matches the Rfam family "Bacterial small subunit ribosomal RNA", at positions 509 to 807 of the family's 1533-position model. The record is from RNAcentral.